RNAcentral lists this ribosomal RNA (253 nucleotides) under uncultured bacterium. RNAcentral's name for it is "partial 16S ribosomal RNA". It matches the Rfam family "Bacterial small subunit ribosomal RNA", at positions 524 to 776 of the family's 1533-position model. The record is from RNAcentral.
UACGUAGGUGGCAAGCGUUGUCCGGAUUUACUGGGCGUAAAGGAUGCGUAGGCGGACAUUUAAGUCAGAUGUGAAAUACCCGAGCUUAACUUGGGUGCUGCAUUUGAAACCGGGUGUCUAGAGUGCAGGAGAGGUAAGUGGAAUUCCUAGUGUAGCGGUGAAAUGCGUAGAGAUUAGGAAGAACACCAGUGGCGAAGGCGACUUACUGGACUGUAACUGACGCUGAGGCAUGAAAGCGUGGGGAGCAAACAGG